UACGUAGGGUGCGAGCGUUGUCCGGAAUUAUUGGGCGUAAAGCGCACGUAGGCGGCUCUUUAAGUCGGAGGUGAAAUCCUGGAGCUCAACUCCAGAACUGCCUUCGAUACUGUAGAGCUUGAGUUCGGGAGAGGUGAGUGGAACUGCGAGUGUAGAGGUGAAAUUCGUAGAUAUUCGCAAGAACACCAGUGGCGAAGGCGGCUCACUGGCCCGAUACUGACGCUGAGGCACGAAAGCGUGGGGAGCAAACAGG
RNAcentral lists this ribosomal RNA (253 nucleotides) under uncultured bacterium. RNAcentral's name for it is "partial 16S ribosomal RNA". It matches the Rfam family "Bacterial small subunit ribosomal RNA", at positions 524 to 776 of the family's 1533-position model. The record is from RNAcentral.